Non-coding RNA from Pelobates cultripes (western spadefoot toad), 201 nucleotides. NCBI's taxonomy places the organism in Eukaryota, Metazoa, Chordata, Amphibia, Anura, Pelobatidae. The record is from the annotation of a GenBank genome assembly.
CGCACUACAUUGUGAUGCCUGUGUACUUCUGUCUAUAGCAUUUCAGUAUGAGUUGAACCUCUCUACUGCUUUACCUUUGGCAGCAUCAUUAGGGGAAUCAUUAGCCGGACCAGAACAAAAGUUCCAGGCUGGCCAAUGUCAACUCUGUGCAAAUUUUCAGGCACAGAGUUAUGUUCAUUGGCUGAUAGCAGUCAAAUGACG